GCCCGGGUGGCGAAAUUGGUAGACGCAGGGGAUUCAAAAUCCCCCGGUGGCAACACCGUGUCGGUUCGAGUCCGACCCCGGGCA
RNAcentral lists this transfer RNA (84 nucleotides) under Chromohalobacter canadensis. RNAcentral describes it as "tRNA_Leu_CAA". It matches the Rfam family "tRNA". From Rfam's summary of the family: Transfer RNA (tRNA) molecules are approximately 80 nucleotides in length. Lineage: Bacteria; Pseudomonadati; Pseudomonadota; Gammaproteobacteria; Oceanospirillales; Halomonadaceae. The record is from RNAcentral.